GCUGAGAGGCAGGGCUAACGCUCAGUUUAGCCAUGAAACAGGGGUGUGGUGCUAAAUUUAGAGCUGUUCCAGAUCCGAUCUGAGAAGCAGUUCCUUUCUCCGGCACAGAGGGGAUCCAGUUCCUUGCCUUCAACUGCCCACCCUCUAUCCUCAGAAAACCCGGAGAGAGCAGACGGCUCACACUCACCCGGAGAAGAAAACCCCAGGAGAGACCCUGACCAGGAGCUAACGUUCGUCGGGGAUCUUACCCUGCUGUGAGCUCUCUCUCCCUGGCAGGGCGCUCGCUGGGCGGCGGAGAUCGUGAGGAGAUUUCUUUCGGCACGGGAGAAGAGUCAGAUCUCGGGAUCGGGGAUGAAGGCUCUGCCCAAGAACCAAGGACGGACGGACUAUAUUCUGGGUGCCAUGGGUGACAUCCUUUCAUCCCUGGCGCUGCCCAGCCAGCAGUGGGCCCCUGAUGCCUCUGAAGAGGAGCCGCUGCUGUGUGAGACGACCCAGAGGUCAGAGCGUGUGGACUGGGGCGCUGAGCCCCCAGACCCCCAGGAAGAGACAGCACGGGGUGACGGCCUGGGGAGAGGGGAGCUGACAGGUCAAGGGAUUGAUGGGGGAUCGGCAGUUAUUUGAGCCUGAGGUGUCUGGUUAGACACUGUCGAGAAGCCCCCAGUUAUGUCCCCCUAUCCCAGGAACCCUUGGGGCAGUCCCGGUCACAGAUGGCUGAUGACAUCACCCAGAAUCGAACCUGCAACAUCUGAUCAGUGAACGCCUUGAUGGGUGUGCCUUGUGCCCUCUUGUAAAAAACCUAGAAACGACAGCAGGAGGAGAGAGUCAGAGAGUGUGUCCUCAGAUCCUGUUCUGAAGAGGACACCUGCUUUGCUCUGCACACAAGCGCGUGUUUGGGUUUCCAUAUGUGGGGACCAGCUCACCAAGAACAACAAGGAUGUGGAAAUACUGGAAGGCAGCUAUAGAGUUCAUUGCAAAGACACUUAGCAAGUUAGUGCAGGGUAAAUGCACCAUUACUGAGCCACGCCCAGUG
RNAcentral lists this long non-coding RNA (1030 nucleotides) under Lepisosteus oculatus (spotted gar). Its description in RNAcentral is "lncRNA (ENSLOCG00000021033.1)". The record is from RNAcentral. Lineage: Eukaryota; Metazoa; Chordata; Actinopteri; Semionotiformes; Lepisosteidae.